UAAUAAGAAGCGAUUUAUUGCAAUUAGUUUCGACCUAAUCUUAGAUAUUUUUUAUCCUUAUUUU
Molecule: transfer RNA, 64 nt
Filed under: Myiodactylus osmyloides
Lineage: Eukaryota; Metazoa; Arthropoda; Insecta; Neuroptera; Nymphidae
Description: tRNA-Arg
Source: RNAcentral